Papaver somniferum (opium poppy) is the source of this 1478-nucleotide long non-coding RNA. RefSeq lists it as uncharacterized. Lineage: Eukaryota; Viridiplantae; Streptophyta; Magnoliopsida; Ranunculales; Papaveraceae. The transcript has 3 exons. The record is from RefSeq and is a predicted model, not a curated record.
UUUCUUCUUCGUUCUUCUUCUGCUCCUCCUCUGUUUCUUCUUCUGUUAGAUUUUGGGAGAUGAAAUAUAGUUUUGAGAUCAAGAUAAGAUGAGUCUGAUCAUGAAUCAAGUGAUGGUGGAAGUAUUGUUUCUGUUUGAGUUUAGGAGGAUGUUGAUUAAGUACUGGAAGAUGAAGGAAAGAUGAACUAAAUUAGGGUUAUAGAGUUAAUUUAGGUUCUGAAGUUUUAAGAGAUAAAAUUAGAACUAUGGUGGGAUGAAGAAUCAUGGGUUUAGGUUCAAUUGAAGUUAUGAACUUGUUUUGGAGAUGAAUUGAUUGAAGCUAGGAUUUCAGAAAGAAUUCAAGGAAGAAUUAGAAGGAGAUAUUGAUGUUAAGUGGAUUGAAUUAGUGAUGGGUUUGUCCUUAAUAGAAUUGUAGUUGGAUGAAUUGGGGUUAAUUGGAUGUUUUUGGCGAUGUAUGGUGGUGAACUGAAAUUAGGGUUUCAAGUUCUUCCCAAAAUUAGUAUUAGGGUUCAUAAAAGUGAUUGAUUCAAGUGACUGGAUCUGAUUGAGAUGGAGGAUGAGAAGUUAUACAAUUGUGAUUUCCGUCCAAGGUAAUUCUCAUGCGGUAAGUAGAAUUUCAUGAUUAUGUGUUAUCAACUGAAGUAAUUCUUAUUUUAGUUAUGGAUUGAAUAUGAUAUUGGUGAUGUUAACAAUUUAAGAUGUCUGAGUUGAUGGAGUUAUAAAUGGUGUAUGAAUUGAAUAUAAGUUGAAUUUUGAAUUGUAAUAAAGAGGCUAAUGGUUGUUGUGGAUGUUGGUGGUUUAAAUGAGCUGUGAUGCAAGCUGAGGUGAUAUUGAGUCAUGAGAUACUGCAUCAGAUGGUUGUAAUUGAGUUUGUUGGUGGUUGUCUAGUGAAUUAUAGCUGGGUCUGCUCAGACUUGCAGGGGAUUUGGAUGAAUAAAUUAGGAAUUGGUGAAUGUUGAGUGGAUAUUACAGCCAUGAAGUGAACUGUGUAAAGAGAGCAGAAUGUGAAGUUAAAAGUGUUGUUGGUGUUGAGGAUGAAACUGCAGGUGAAGAAGAGAUGAUGUUAAAUGGAUUGGUUGUUGCAUAUGUAGAUGAUUAUACUGAGUUAUAAGUUGUGGUGGUGAUGUGGAGGUUGCAGGGGAUAUUUGUGGUUGGUGGAGGUUUAGAAACCAUAGGUCGUGGUGUUGUUUGUGUGUUGAGAGUUUGCAAGCACGAAAUGUGUAACUGAGACGAUAGUUGUAGAAUUAUAGUCAAGUGGUGGCUGUGAAAAGCUUAAAGCUACAAUUGCAGCGUCCUUGUAUUUCGAGGAGAACUGCCACUCUUGAACAGAUAUCUUCCAUAUUGGAUUCACCAUCUGACUUGGAACCAUCUCAUGAUGAAUCUUAAGUGUUUGGAGCUAGGCAUCACCGGCAUUAUCGACAUGGUUCGCCUGGAGGGAUCUCAGAGAAAGUACAAGUGGAUUCGAUCAUCCAGCGAAU